RNAcentral lists this ribosomal RNA (491 nucleotides) under uncultured bacterium. RNAcentral describes it as "partial 16S ribosomal RNA". It matches the Rfam family "Bacterial small subunit ribosomal RNA", at positions 28 to 507 of the family's 1533-position model. The record is from RNAcentral.
GAUGAACGCUGGCUACAGGCUUAACACAUGCAAGUCGAGGGGAAACGACGGGGAAGCUUGCUUCCCCGGGCGUCGACCGGCGCACGGGUGAGUAACGCGUAUCCAACCUGCCUCUGACUGAGGGAUAACCCGUCGAAAGUCGGCCUAAUACCUCAUGGUAUCGUCUGCGGGCAUCCAACGACGAUUAAAGAUUUCAUCGGUCAGGGAUGGGGAUGCGUCUGAUUAGCUUGUUGGCGGGGUAACGGCCCACCAAGGCUACGAUCAGUAGGGGUUCUGAGAGGAAGGUCCCCCACAUUGGAACUGAGACACGGUCCAAACUCCUACGGGAGGCAGCAGUGAGGAAUAUUGGUCAAUGGGCGAGAGCCUGAACCAGCCAAGUAGCGUGCAGGAAGACGGCCCUAUGGGUUGUAAACUGCUUUUAUGCGGGGAUAAAGUGAGGGACGUGUCCCUCAUUGCAGGUACCGCAUGAAUAAGGGCCGGCUAAUUCCGUG